This 259-nucleotide ribosomal RNA is filed under the name uncultured prokaryote. RNAcentral's name for it is "partial 16S ribosomal RNA". It matches the Rfam family "Bacterial small subunit ribosomal RNA", at positions 524 to 782 of the family's 1533-position model. The record is from RNAcentral.
UACGUAGGUGGCGAGCGUUAUCCGGAAUUAUUGGGCGUAAAGAGCGCGCAGGUGGUUGAUUAAGUCUGAUGUGAAAGCCCACGGCUUGACCGUGGAGGGUCAUUGGAAACUGGUCAACUUGAGUGCAGAAGAGGGAAGUGGAAUUCCAUGUGUAGCGGUGAAAUGCGUAGAGAUAUGGAGGAACACCAGUGGCGAAGGCGGCUUCCUGGUCUGUAACUGACACUGAGGCGCGAAAGCGUGGGGAGCAAACAGGAUUAGA